UAUUCAGUUCCUUAUUGCUCUAAUCCCCUGUUAUAGUUAAUAAUUCCUUAUAUUAAACUUUCUCUGUUCAAAUUACUGUGUAGUUUCUCUCUCCUG
Non-coding RNA from Ceratotherium simum simum (southern white rhinoceros), 96 nucleotides. Lineage: Eukaryota; Metazoa; Chordata; Mammalia; Perissodactyla; Rhinocerotidae. The record is from RefSeq and is a predicted model, not a curated record.